GAUGAACGCUGACAGAAUGCUUAACACAUGCAAGUCAACUUGAACUUCGGUUUGGGUGGCGGACGGGUGAGUGACGCGUAAAGAACUUGCCUCACAGAUAGGGACAACAUUUGGAAACGAAGGCUAAUACCUGAUAUUAUGAUUAUAUGGCAUCGUAUAAUUAUGAAAGCUAUAUGCGCUGUGAGAGAGCUUUGCGUCCCAUUAGCUAGUUGGAGAGGUAACGGCUCACCAGGGCGAUGAUGGGUAGCCGGCCUGAGAGGGUGAUCGGCCACAAGGGGACUGAGACACGGCCCUUACUCCUACGGGAGGCAGCAGUGGGGAAUAUUGGACAAUGGACCAAGAGUCUGAUCCAGCAAUUCUGUGUGCACGAUGAAGUUUUUCGGAAUGUAAAGUGCUUUCAGUUGGGAAGAAAAAAAUGACGGUACCAACAGAAGAAGUGACGGCUAAAUACGUG
This 454-nucleotide ribosomal RNA is filed under the name uncultured bacterium. Its description in RNAcentral is "partial 16S ribosomal RNA". It matches the Rfam family "Bacterial small subunit ribosomal RNA", at positions 28 to 507 of the family's 1533-position model. The record is from RNAcentral.